UUUUCAUUCUUAAACAAUGAAUAGUUUUUCCAUGACAAAGUAUUCGUUGUUUAUGAAUGAGAGAA
This 65-nucleotide microRNA precursor is filed under the name Schmidtea mediterranea. RNAcentral describes it as "Sme-Mir-76-P9b_pre stem-loop". The record is from RNAcentral. Lineage: Eukaryota; Metazoa; Platyhelminthes; Tricladida; Dugesiidae.